GUAAGGACACAGAUACACGAGAUACUCAAUAAAGCUUUCUAAUCUGAUAACUAGCAAUGUGAAGCAACAAACCAAAGCACGUGGAUAGAUGAAGAAGGGAAAAAAAGCUGGACCAAAAAAUAUAUACUGCUUUACCCUAGUAAUAAAUGCUACAAUAGAGUUCAAGUAAAAGAAAUCAGGACAAUGAACUAAGGGAUAAUAAGCAGUCCUGGAGAAUUGUCAAAACAAGAAAACCACACUUUAUUUCUUUAUAACUUUCUAAAAUCUUGUUAGUCAUUUUCCCCAUUCCCUUGUCAAGGUUGUUUAUGUUUGCCACAUUGUUUUUAUUAUUUAAAAAUAAGAAGAAUGAAAUAGGCCUUCUAUGAAACAAAGCAUUCAACCCUGCUUUGCUUCAGAGAUAGAUUUUUUUUUCUUCAUAACCACAAAAGCUGCAUUUUUCAACUACAGGUAACAAGAAAUGGUUAAACAGUUGUGACUAGUGUCUUUGUCAGCUAGGUUCCCAGUAGGGAUAGGGGCAAAACAAACUGUUCAAGCCCUCACAGGAGGUAGAGGAAGAUCUUUAGGUGACCUUACCCUCAUUUCAUCAUCAGACACAAACCUAGUCCCCAAACAUGCACACACACUCAAAUGGGAAACAAAACAAAACAAAACUAGUGUGCGCCCGCACAGGCACACACAGGAUUUGAAAUCACAGCUUGAAGCCGGGAGCAACAGGAAAACGGGAAGAGUAUGGUACCUUCAGCAUCGUAGAAGAUCUACUAUGACUGUAUCAUAGUUCCCAAGUUUCCUGUUCUUGCCACAAGCAGUACAAAACAAAACAAAACAGCAAAAAUGGCAUACCACUGAUACACAGGUCUAAUAUACUGGACAUUUCUGAUAAUUCUCCUAUCAUGAGUCAAGUGUCCACUUGUCUGAUGGACAAAGUGCAGUGCCUGCAUAGUCUUAACUCACCCUCAAGGUGAGGCCUGAUUUCAGCACCGGCAUGGGAUGAGAAAAUGCAUGUUAUUUUUAUAACAAAAACUUAUGCUUAAUUAGAUUUCCAUAUGCUCAAGAAUGAAGAAUAGAAUUAAUGUGGGGCCAAAAGAAUUUCUGCAUCAUAAGACAACACAGGGUUCAAGAAGG
Molecule: long non-coding RNA, 1122 nt
Filed under: Sus scrofa (pig)
Lineage: Eukaryota; Metazoa; Chordata; Mammalia; Artiodactyla; Suidae
Description: lncRNA (ENSSSCG00035016773.1)
Source: RNAcentral